Molecule: ribosomal RNA, 630 nt
Filed under: Porpidia melinodes
Lineage: Eukaryota; Fungi; Ascomycota; Lecanoromycetes; Lecideales; Lecideaceae
Description: LSU rRNA
Rfam family: Eukaryotic large subunit ribosomal RNA
Source: RNAcentral
UACCCGCUGAACUUAAGCAUAUCAAUAAGCGGAGGAAAAGAAACCAACAGGGAUUGCCUCAGUAACGGCGAGUGAAGCGGCAACAGCUCAAAUUUGAAAUCUGACCCCUUCGGGGCCCGAGUUGUAAUUUGUAGAGGAUGCUUCGGGUGCGGCGCCGGUCUAAGUUCCUUGGAACAGGACGUCAUAGAGGGUGAGAAUCCCGUAUGCGACCGGCGGUCAACCCCAUGUGAAGCCCCUUCGACGAGUCGAGUUGUUUGGGAAUGCAGCUCAAAAUGGGUGGUAAAUUUCAUCUAAAGCUAAAUACCGGCCAGAGACCGAUAGCGCACAAGUAGAGUGAUCGAAAGAUGAAAAGCACUUUGGAAAGAGAGUCAAACAGUACGUGAAAUUGUUGAAAGGGAAGCGCUUGCAACCAGACCUGCCCCCGGGCGAUCAGCCGUUAUUUUUAGCGGUGCACUCGUCCGCGAUCAGGCCAGCAUCGGUUCGGGCGGCCGGAUAAAGGCCUCGGGAAUGUAGCUCCCCCCGGGGAGUCUUAUAGCCCGAGGUGCAAUGCGGCCAGCCCGGACCGAGGACCGCGCUUCGGCUAGGAUGCUGGCGUAAUGGUUGUAAGCGACCCGUCUUGAAACACGGACC